RNAcentral lists this ribosomal RNA (1143 nucleotides) under uncultured marine group II euryarchaeote HF200_65H08. Its description in RNAcentral is "bacterial SSU rRNA". It matches the Rfam family "Archaeal small subunit ribosomal RNA", at positions 165 to 1311 of the family's 1478-position model. The record is from RNAcentral. Lineage: Archaea; Methanobacteriati; Thermoplasmatota; Candidatus Poseidoniia; Candidatus Poseidoniales.
UACGCCUGGAACGGUGAGUGGAUCAAAGCUCCGGCGGCAUAGGAUGGGCCUGCGCCGUAUCAGGUUGUAGGGGGUGUAAAGUACCCUCUAGCCAUCAACGCGUACGGGUGUUGGGAGACAUUGCCCGGAGAUGGAUUCUGAGACACGAAUCCAGACCCUACGGGGUGCAGCAGGCGCGAAAACUUGGCAAUGCGAGCAAUCGUGACCAGGGAACUCCAAGUGCUUGGGGUAAGACCCAAGCUUUUCUUGACUCUUAAACGGUCUUGGAAUAAGGGGUGGGUAAGGACGGUGCCAGCCGCCGCGGUAAUACCGGCGCCUCAAGUGGUAGUCGCUUUUAUUGGGCCUAAAACGUCCGUAGCCGGUCUGGUGCAUUCGUGGGUAAAUCAACCCGCUCAACGGGUUGAAUUCUGCGAGCACGGCCAGACUUGGGACCGGGAGAGGUGUGGGGUACUCUCGGGGUAGGGGUAAAAUCCUGUCAUCCCGAGAGGACCACCUGUUGCGAAGGCGCCACACUAGAACGGAUCCGACGGUCAGGGACGAAACCUAGGGGCACGAACCGGAUUAGAUACCCGGGUAGUCCUAGGUGUAAACGCUGUGGACUUGAUGUUGGGGGCGCUCCGAGCGCUUUCAGUGUCGAAGCGAAGGUGAUAAGUCCACUGCCUGGGGAGUACGGUCGCAAGGCUGAAACUUAAAGGAAUUGGCGGGGGAGCACUGCAACCUGAGGAUUGUGCGGUUUAAUUGGAUUCAACGCCGGAAAACUCACCAUGGCCGACGGACAAAUGAAAGCCAGUGUAACGAACUUGCUGGAUUGUUCGAGAGGUAUUGCAUGGCCGUCGUCAGUUCGUACCGCAAGGCGUUCUGUUAAGUCAGAUAACGAACGAGACCCUCAUCCCUAUUUGCCAGCUGCGUCCCCGGACGUAGCGCACUAUAGGGAGACCGCUGUCGAUAAGGCAGAUGAAGGCGAGGGCAACGGUAGGUCAGUAUGAUCCGAAUGCCAUGGGCUACACGCGCAAUACAAAGGACGGGACAAUGGGCUGCAACUCCGAGAGGAAUGACGCUAUCCCGAAACCCGUUCGUAGUUCGGAUUGAGGGCUGUAACUCGCCCUCAUGAAGCUGGAUUAGGUAGUAAUCGCGUCUCAAUAG